This 517-nucleotide ribosomal RNA is filed under the name uncultured bacterium. RNAcentral describes it as "bacterial SSU rRNA". It matches the Rfam family "Bacterial small subunit ribosomal RNA", at positions 58 to 550 of the family's 1533-position model. The record is from RNAcentral.
CAAGUCGAACGAGAAAAGUUCCUUCGGGAACCUAGUAUAGUGGCGCACGGGUGAGUAACACGUAGGUGAUCUACCUCUUGCUGGGGAACAACCCCGGGAAACCGGGGCUAAUUCCGCAUACGUCUUUCAAUCUGCGGGUUGAAAGGGAAAGGUGGCCUCUUCAUGAAAGCUAUCGGCGAGAGAUGAGCCUGCGUAUCAUUAGCUUGUUGGUGAGGUAACGGCUCACCAAGGCUCCGAUGAUUAGCUGAUCUGAGAGGAUGAUCAGCCACACUGGAACUGGAACACGGUCCAGACUCCUACGGGAGGCAGCAGUGGGGAAUAUUGCGCAAUGGGCGAAAGCCUGACGCAGCAACGCCGCGUGAGCGACGAAGGCCUUCGGGUCGUAAAGCUCUGUCGAGAGAGACGAAACCCUGAUGAGAACAAUACCUCAUCAGUUUGACGGUAUCUCCAAAGGAAGCACCGGCUAACUCCGUGCCAGCAGCCGCGGUAAUACGGAGGGUGCAAGCGUUGUUCGGAA